Molecule: ribosomal RNA, 499 nt
Filed under: uncultured Massilia sp.
Lineage: Bacteria; Pseudomonadati; Pseudomonadota; Betaproteobacteria; Burkholderiales; Oxalobacteraceae
Description: bacterial SSU rRNA
Rfam family: Bacterial small subunit ribosomal RNA
Source: RNAcentral
UUUGUAGUCCUGGCGUCACGAUUUGAACGCUGCGGCAUGCUUUACACAUGCAAGUCGAACGGCAGCGCGGGGCGAACCUGGCGGCGAGUGGCGAACGGUGAGUAAUAUAUCGGAACGUACCAAGAGUGGGGAUAACGUAGCGAAAGUUACGCUAAUACGCAUACGAUCUAAGGAUGAAAGCAGGGGAUCUUCGGACCUUGUGCUUCUGGAGCGGCCGAUAUCUGAUUAGCUAGUUGGUGAGGUAAAGGCUCACCAAGGCCACGAUCAGUAGCUGGUCUGAGAGGACGACCAGCCACACUGGAACUGAGACACGGUCCAGACUCCUACGGGAGGCAGCAGUGGGGAAUUUUGGACAAUGGGCGAAAGCCUGAUCCAGCAAUGCCGCGUGAGUGAAGAAGGCCUUCGGGUUGUAAAGCUCUUUUGUCAGGGAAGAAACGGCUUGGGCUAAUAUCCUGGGCUAAUGACGGUACCUGAAGAAUAAGCACCGGCUAACUACGUG